AUGCAAGUCGAACGGAAAGGCCCCUUCGGGGGUACUCGAGUGGCGAACGGGUGAGUAACACGUGGGUAAUCUGCCCUGCACUUCGGGAUAAGCCUGGGAAACUGGGUCUAAUACCGGAUAGGACCACUUGGCGCAUGCCUUGUGGUGGAAAGCUUUUGCGGUGUGGGAUGGGCCCGCGGCCUAUCAGCUUGUUGGUGGGGUGACGGCCUACCAAGGCGACGACGGGUAGCCGGCCUGAGAGGGUGUCCGGCCACACUGGGACUGAGAUACGGCCCAGACUCCUACGGGAGGCAGCAGUGGGGAAUAUUGCACAAUGGGCGCAAGCCUGAUGCAGCGACGCCGCGUGGGGGAUGACGGCCUUCGGGUUGUAAACCUCUUUCAGCAGGGACGAAGCGCAAGUGACGGUACCUGCAGAAGAAGCACCGGCCAACUACGUGCCAGCAGCCGCGGUAAUACGU
This 458-nucleotide ribosomal RNA is filed under the name Mycobacterium simiae. RNAcentral's name for it is "bacterial SSU rRNA". It matches the Rfam family "Bacterial small subunit ribosomal RNA", at positions 55 to 528 of the family's 1533-position model. Lineage: Bacteria; Bacillati; Actinomycetota; Actinomycetes; Mycobacteriales; Mycobacteriaceae. The record is from RNAcentral.